GUUGGUAGACCAGGGGACUGAAAA
Molecule: transfer RNA, 24 nt
Filed under: Iochroma cyaneum
Lineage: Eukaryota; Viridiplantae; Streptophyta; Magnoliopsida; Solanales; Solanaceae
Description: partial tRNA-Phe
Source: RNAcentral